AUUGAACGCUGGCGGCAGGCCUAACACAUGCAAGUCGAGCGGAUGAAGGGAGCUUGCUCCUGGAUUCAGCGGCGGACGGGUGAGUAAUGCCUAGGAAUCUGCCUGGUAGUGGGGGAUAACGUCCGGAAACGGGCGCUAAUACCGCAUACGUCCUGAGGGAGAAAGUGGGGGAUCUUCGGACCUCACGCUAUCAGAUGAGCCUAGGUCGGAUUAGCUAGUUGGUGGGGUAAAGGCCUACCAAGGCGACGAUCCGUAACUGGUCUGAGAGGAUGAUCAGUCACCAUGGAACUGAGAAAGGGUCCAGACCCCUACGGGAGGCAGCAGUGGGGAAUAUUGGACAAGGGGCGAAAGCCUGAUCCAGCCAUGUCGCGUGGGUGAAGAAGGUCUUCGGAUUGUAAAGCACUUUAAGUUGGGAGGAAGGGCAGUAAGUUAAUACCUUGCUGUUUUGAGGUUACCAACAGAAUAAGCACCGGCUAACUUCGU
Molecule: ribosomal RNA, 483 nt
Filed under: uncultured bacterium
Lineage: Bacteria
Description: partial 16S ribosomal RNA
Rfam family: Bacterial small subunit ribosomal RNA
Source: RNAcentral